CUGAAAAAGAUUAAGCUGCAGCGCUCAGUUGAGCGCUGUACAGCAAGUUAUGGCACAAGUGAGCAUUAUACAGAAAGUUAUGACACUUGUGGUGUCGUCAUCCCAAUUUUUUUCAUUUUAGUCCGUGCCUAACUUUUUUGCUACUAGAUUUGUCUCUUGGACCUGCGGUUUUGCUGCCUAAUUAGGCUCCAAAACAAAAGCAAGGGUUAAGUGCAGGGACGAAGUAGCAUAAACAGUCGAUGAGUGACUAAAAUGAAAAAACAAUAAAUAAUAGUACUACUCUUUUUUUUUCCUCCCCUUUCGUUAGAGUAGGGCAAGAACAGAAACUAGUUUCUGCCCUCGGGAAAACCAGAUGGGAAAAAAACAGGAAUUCUCCAUCUUGUUUUUCCUAUGCCAAAAGCUAGUUUUUCUUUUUGUCCUACUCCAUGCACGACACCUAAAUUGAUAGUCCUACCAGAAAGCUUGAAUGUCUUGCGUAAAUAUCACCGUUGUUUUCGCCACUAGAAGAUCGCUCUAUCCUGAAGGACCAGCCCACCUAUUUUUCUCCAAGUGCUCAGAAACCCGUUCAGAAGCCUCUUCUUUCAUUUGCAGCACGAUUUAGUUCGUCCCUUAGAGGAGAAGGUAGAUGAGAUGUCUGGAACUUCAAAAUUUUAUUGUUGAACAAGCAGAGAAAGGCUGGGAUAGCAUGGAUUGUGAUCACCUAGAACAACAACUUGGUUUUGCAGAGCAUCAGGUCUCGGGAAUUCAGAACCAAUUGAAUGAGCUAUUCAUGAAUGGGCAGUUUCUCUAGUACAGAAAUAUCAUCCAGAAGUUGCAUUACUGUUACCUCCGAAUGGAGUAGGAUGAAGCCCUGGAUGUCCCCUGGUGAUCAUGAUUCAUAUCCUAACGGCAAGCUUUUCGACGCAGAGUUCGAAGAAAAGGAAACUACCAUGAUUCGGCCAGAAAAUAAGAAAGACGAUGUGCAGAUUAAAUCAGGCAACUGUCCCUUGUGGAAACCUGGAACGAUUCGCUUUCAUUGACGAGAUCGACUGCAUCAGCCAGCUGUUGCCGCCAAAAUAAAUCCACCAUCGAUCCAAGUGUUCACCUCGACAUAUUAUUUGCACUUUGUUCUUCUGGCAUAUGUGAUUCUUGACGGAAUAUGUGAUAAGAGUCAACGAGA
Long non-coding RNA from Rhodamnia argentea, 1159 nucleotides. RefSeq lists it as uncharacterized. The transcript has 3 exons. The record is from RefSeq and is a predicted model, not a curated record. NCBI's taxonomy places the organism in Eukaryota, Viridiplantae, Streptophyta, Magnoliopsida, Myrtales, Myrtaceae.